RNAcentral lists this ribosomal RNA (252 nucleotides) under uncultured bacterium. RNAcentral's name for it is "partial 16S ribosomal RNA". It matches the Rfam family "Bacterial small subunit ribosomal RNA", at positions 524 to 776 of the family's 1533-position model. The record is from RNAcentral.
UACGAAGGGGGCUAGCGUUGCUCGGAAUGACUGGGCGUAAAGGGCGCGUAGGCGGAUUGUACAGUCAGGCGUGAAAUUCCCGGGCUCAACCUGGGGGCUGCGCUUGAGACGUGCGAUCUUGAGUGGGGAAGAGGGUCGUGGAAUUCCCAGUGUAGAGGUGAAAUUCGUAGAUAUUGGGAAGAACACCGGUGGCGAAGGCGGCGACCUGGUCCUUGACUGACGCUGAGCGCGAAAGCGUGGGGAGUAAACAGG